GGGCACGCCUCGCCCCUCGGGGAGCACUCCAGGGCCCGCCGCCUGCCCCCUGUGGCGUCUCCGUAGCCCCGCCAGCCGCAGCCCCCUACCCGGUACCUGGCGGCGCGUCUCUCCUCUUCCUUCCGUCCCCGGCAGAACACGCGGAACUGGGGGGAAACGUCCAGCCAAAGCCCCGGUAGCGCCAGUUCUACACCGGUUUCCACCAGCACCGCUCCCCUCUUCCCGUUUAACCCCGGCUGUGUCUCUCCCCGGGAGAGCGGCUUCUCCCUGGGACCUUCCACCGGGACCCAUCACCGCCCGUCGCGUCAGCCGGAGCCCCACGGGGCCGGUUCUGGGCGAUGACCCCCGUACGGAGCGUCCCGAGCAGCAAAGCCGGGGGCAGCCCCAGACCCGGCACUGACGGGCGCCCCGAGGCUCCCGGCGGGGCUUUGUACGGCCGGUGCUGGUGCCGCUGCAGAACAGACCCGGCUGUACGUGGACAGCCUGGGAACGCAUUCCCUGCUCCAUCCCCUGAGGAGGACAUCUUUCUACAGCUGGUUGCCACUGUAAGGGGAAAAAGACUUUGCAUUCUUGCUGAGAUUGUUUGGCUGGCAACACAGGAUGACGCACGAGCUGCCAUUGGGAACAAUACACAAUUUAUCCAACAUAUUGGUGUGAGAGAAGGGAAAAGGGAAGAAAAAUGAUUUUCUCCACAUAUUAAGUGUGAAAGGGUAGUAUCUUCUUUUUUCUGUGUUGCUCACUUAAAAAAUUGUGUGCUGUGACCUAUAAUCCUGUCUGCCCUUGGCCUGUAGCAGUAGCAUCUAUAAAUGCAGAGGAAAUGAGCACUGCAGCUUUUAUCAGAGAAAUCUCUUUGGAUUAGUUAAGUAAUAGGAGGAAGAGGUUUCUGGGAGGUAGAUAGAUAAAGACCUGUCCCAAAGCCCCAGGCGAGGCAGUGGGAAGGCUCAGCUGUUACUUUAGAGGCUUAGCAUAUGCUGCUAAGCCUGCAGAGCAGCAAAAUGUAUUGCAUUUUGUGGCUUUUUUGUCAUUACUGUAUCAAAGUGCUUGGACUUGAAUGAGUGAUUAUCUGUGUAUUUGUAAAGUGCCAAAAUGCCCUGGUUGUUCUGUGGCCCAUGACCAGCUCGCAUCCAAGAGUUGCAUGAGUCUUCAUUUAAUUGAGUUUAUGGAGGGCUGAUAACUCCUUACAAAAUAAGGCUGGAAAUCACAGAAUCGCAGACUGGUUUGGGUUGGAAGGGACCUUAAAGAUCACCAGUUUCUACCUCCCUGCCCGUACCACUUAAAAAUCUGGCCUGGUUGGAAUCUUAUCAAGUACUUUGUCUUCAGACAUCUUCAUGAUGUCUGAUUAUUUAGCCUUUUUAAUUUUUCUCCUAGGAAAUAGCAAGGUUUUUUCAGUUGAGAAGGAAGAAUUAAACUUUUGGGUGAAAAAUCUCACAGCCAAAAACUGUUUCUUUGGGGUUUUUAAAUCAGCCUUCACAAAUCACGAGGCUUCCAAAAGCCUCCUCCAAGGCAAAGCUCCUUUUGCCAUCUCUGUUCUUUGUCCUCAUGGGACAAAGGGUAAAACAGAAUGGGCCAUAUUGAUAUGUACCUGCUUCAUGACUACACAUACAGCCAAAUAUGCUAUCGAUUUCAGUUGUGCAUUCCUAACCAGCUGGAGUGUAUAUAAAUAAUAAGCUUACUACAUCUGAAAGAGAACUGACCUGCUGUGCAAUUACUAUCUUUAACAGAUAAAUUGUGGAUUUGUCAGAGAUGAGAUGGACUCAGUGUUAGGCUUCAGGAUAACCUUAGCAACAAAGUAUUCUGCUGUUCAGAAGCCCACGUGGAACACAUUUCAUCUCUGGCAGGAUUUCCCCAAUUUCUGUAGAUUUAAAGCAGGAAUUGGUUGUCCUCCCAGUGUUUCGAACCAGGUAGGAGGUCAGCAGCCCAAUGAUAAAUUGGAUAAUGUGUUAAUGCACGUUAAAAUAUAUACAGUCCCAAUGCCUUGAUGUAAUAUUCCUUUUUCCCUCUACCAGACUUUGAGCUCAAGAAGUCGAUAGGUUAAUCAUCUAACUCAACUCUCAAGGAUUGAAUGUACUGUGUACACAGUCCCUCAGCUCAUUGCUCACACAGAGAUAUAAAAAGUGAAGGCCAUACUGUGUAUUAUAUCUAAAUUAAAGCCUUUUUCAUCACCCAUACCAGAGUGAAGCUUUAGUUUUACACCACACUCUCAUUUAUUCUUAGGAUCUUAUCUAUUAUUCUGCUGGCAAAUGUUUAUUAGACAAAUACAACCUUUUACUUCACAAGGAAGAGAAGUGCAUCAGUCUAACUUGAUUAUUUAUUUAUGCCUAUUUAGUCUGCUGAAAAGGGGUAAUUUUCUGUUCACAGCUCUGGCAGUGGUUAUUUUGAGGAGUAGCAAAACAGUCCCUGGCAUCACCCUUCUGGCCUGGAACUGGCAUUCUCUCUUUGUAUAAUAAAACCAGUAACCUCUCCAGUACAUCUGGACUUCAGUACAUGAAGCUCAUGAACGUUUUGUCAUCUGCACAAAGGUCACCCAGGCUGCAACAAUAAUUGAUGUUGAAUGAAUGAACAGGACAGGCAACCAGAAAAGGGAGUAAAUGGAAUGUGGCUGAAGACGCUUCCUUCUGGUCACUUGGGUCAGAACUGGUUGGCAUUCCAAAUAUCCAGGCAGAAGCAACACGAGUCCAACCGCAAGGAGACCCAGGAACCGCAUGACCACGGAAGGACACGUGAUGGCGACAGCCAGAAUCCAGAUGAGCACAAUACUGGCUAUGGCAGUUGCACUGGUCAGCUUCUGCUUGAACGGGUCAACGAUGCACCGGAACCUGUGUCAAUGGUGGAUGUGGAGAAGCCGUUUAAGGAAUGCUGAGUCUAAC
Long non-coding RNA from Strigops habroptila (Kakapo), 2867 nucleotides. RefSeq lists it as uncharacterized. Lineage: Eukaryota; Metazoa; Chordata; Aves; Psittaciformes; Psittacidae. The record is from RefSeq and is a predicted model, not a curated record. The transcript is spliced from 5 exons.